GCUGUCCUUAGUACGAGAGGACCGGGAUGGACAUACCUCUGGUGUACCAGUUGUCGUGCCAACGGCAUAGCUGGGUAGCUAUGUGUGGACGGGAUAAGUGCUGAAAGCAUCUAAGCAUGAAGCCCCCCUCAAGAUGAGAUUUCCCAACUUCGGUUAUAAGAUCCCUCAAAGAUGAUGAGGUUAAUAGGUUCGAGGUGGAAGCAUGGUGACAUGUGGAGCUGACGAAUACUAAUCGAUCGAAGACUUAAUCAA
This 252-nucleotide ribosomal RNA is filed under the name Staphylococcus aureus. Its description in RNAcentral is "partial 23S ribosomal RNA". It matches the Rfam family "Bacterial large subunit ribosomal RNA", at positions 2671 to 2925 of the family's 2925-position model. The record is from RNAcentral. Lineage: Bacteria; Bacillati; Bacillota; Bacilli; Caryophanales; Staphylococcaceae.